This 2118-nucleotide long non-coding RNA is filed under the name Meleagris gallopavo (turkey). RNAcentral describes it as "lncRNA (ENSMGAG00000017761.1)". Lineage: Eukaryota; Metazoa; Chordata; Aves; Galliformes; Phasianidae. The record is from RNAcentral.
AUUAUCUGCAAAUUUGAAAAGCCUCAGUUAAAGCUUUCCUCUCCCUUCUCUGAGUAUUUCUUAACGCCAAAUACAUCAUGUCAGAAAUCUGCAUUUUGAUUCACUUCAUGGUUGCUUGAAUGCCCUCUACUCAAUAAGGAGAACCUCACUGCCUCCCCAAAGAAGUCACGCACAUUAGGUAUAACAAAUUGCCUUCUUAAAGUAAUUGUUUCUUCAUUUACCGUAAUACAAGUCAGGCACUCCACUCAGACUAAAUACUUCAUUUUUAGACAACAAAUUGAGGUUAUUCCCAUCUUGCGUGCCAAAAACCUACAUUUCAGAGCUUAAGCAGUGCACUGCACCUCUUUCAGGCUGAGGUAAGUUGCAUAGCUUACACAAAAUACACAGCUAGUGUAAACCAAGUGGACACACAGAAGCAUGGAUGAUCAAACCUAGCAGGAGUUUCAAAAGGUAUCUCACUAAAUUACCUACAAAUAUCAGUGAAAAUAUUUGUGGUAAUUAAAAUACUGUGAUGUGACAGCAUUUUAAAAACAUUUACAAAUGAUUGCGCUUAUCUUUGUCUCUUGCAUGUUUUCUGUGAAUUUAUCAGGUGAGUGAAUGAGAUAUAAGCUUACCCUGAGCUGAAAGGAAAGAAAACAGAAGCAUGUAGACUACCUGGAACACAAUGGGACAGCUUGUUUCACAGGUUCUCCUCAUCUUUUCUGCAGGGUGUCCGUGCUCCCAUGGAACUGAGGCUGCAAGCUCCAGCAAAUGCCACAUUUGCCUCAAAUCUGGGUUACUGCUCGUCUCUAAUCUGCAGCAUGGAUGGUGUCUCACCACGCUAACUUGGAAGCUUCGUGGCCUCCUAACACCUUACCAAAGGCUGAAGGAGAUGUGAUACCUCAGAACAGCUGGCUCUGCCCAAGGAUUUGGCAUCCACUGCUCCUCUUGAAGCCCAGGAGACCCGAGAGAAGUGCUGGAGGUACAACACAGCUGGAAGCUCGGCUCGCAGGCAGACACAAAAGUGGAACAGGAAAGCAGGAGAAAAGAAACGCUCCUUUGUCUCGUGGUUGAACUGGUUGCCCUUGCUGGGAUACAAGCAGUUCAUCUGGGCAGAGAAACCCACUGGCCCACUUGGCAUCCUGCGGCUCUUGGCACACGUUAAACAGGUCGGUAGGUGGUCUGGCACAGAGCUCUGGACGUGCUUUCUCACAAGGGUUCUUGCUUCGCAGGGGGAAAAACAGUUCAACGGAAAGAUCUUUUCUGCAGGGUUCAUCAAUGGCUUCAUGGCAGUCAGGGAAUGGUGUUCAGUGUGUUGCUGAACGCUAAAAAUGCUUUGAUUCUCCGAGGUGCUACAGUUCAUUUUGUUGGUACAGUCUUAUUUGGAAAUAAGGAAAUUUGUUCUGUCCCAGUGCUUUAUGCAGCAGUUUUGGUAGAGGAACUGUGGAUAUAGAGAUCGUGACAUUACUGGAUGAAAUAAUCCUGCUGGAGAUGUUAGGAAGGCUGACCAAGAGUCACUGUGCUCCUCUCUGCCUGGAUAUCUGUUUUGGCUCUGAGGACUGUGAAGCAUCUCGUUUGCUCACCCCAAAUCUUUGAAGGAGCUGAUUAUGCUGACAGUUAGUCUUACUAAUUGUUAUUAUAUCAUUGCUGCAGGAAUAGAUUAAUUCUUAUGUAAAGUAUGCCUGAUUUACACUCAGCUCUUAGAAGAACUUUUCGUUUCAAGUAGGGAUGUAGGUAGGAAAUAAGAGGAAGCCAGUAGAAAAUUCAGGAUGUGCUGGACAAAUUUGAGACGUAUUUUCUAUCAGUCUGAUGCUGUUUCUCAGCCCUUCUUUUUUGCACGGUUUGUUCUUGUAACAGCUGACCAUUACCUGAAAGGUAACAAUUUUCCUCUAUGAUCUUUCACUUAUGGGCACUGAGGGGACAUUGGGCCAUGACUGAGGCAGUGGCCAUGAUACGUUAUUGAAGCUGAUAGUUACAGCCUCAGCAGUGUCAUCAGCUGGAUCAGCAAAACUGACCCUACAAGGAAGAUGUGAAGUUUUAUGUCUUUCACUGGAGUUUAAUCUGUCAUAAUCUUACUCUUAUUUCUUCUCAGCGGUUUGAACUGCGACUUUUACUUGUAGUAAAGAUGGAUUAUCUGUG